Zea mays is the source of this 974-nucleotide long non-coding RNA. RefSeq lists it as uncharacterized. The transcript has 2 exons. The record is from RefSeq and is a predicted model, not a curated record. Lineage: Eukaryota; Viridiplantae; Streptophyta; Magnoliopsida; Poales; Poaceae.
CGUGGCCAGGUGUCAAGUGAGGCCCGCACGGCGGACGAAGACAAGGUGCGUGUGCUUCUGGCGCUACGGGGCCGUGCGCUGGAACGGACGGCCGCCAGCACCCAUCGUGGUCGCCUGACCACGCCCCAUGCGUGUUAGCACCUUACAAGGAGAUUUGAGGGCGCCACGUGUGAUGCCCGCUGUGCCGUCGCCAACAUCUCACUGCAGGGGAAGUAUCUCGACGGCACGCUCCACCUGCCCUCCCAUGGAUCCGCCCCUGGCCGGCCACUACCUCAACUACAACACGCUCUAGCGGCAUCCAGCAGGAGCUGGCUGCGGAUCCCGCAAACGGUGCCAAGACCGUGCGCAAGCCGGUCUUCACCACCGUCAACCAGUUGCGCCCCCAGAUGCAUGGCCACACUCUUGUCGUCUGCGUCGUCUCCGCCCACACCAUCAUCGACAAAUCUUCCAUGCACAUUGGUCGCACCUGCAUCGCCAAGUGCCUCGUCGGAUACAACACCGACACCGUCCUCAUCACACCCGCAACAAUUAGGAUACACUCACGGUGUGCUGGUGUGUAUGUGUGGAGGAAGAGCCUGACGGAGGCUAAGGGAGAGGAAUCAGUAGAGCAAAUCAGCAAGAUGAGACAGAUGUGUAGCUGCUGGUGUUUCUCCACUAUCGCGACCUCACUGCUCAAGCAUGGCCUAUAUAGAGUGACGAGAACACCAUGGAACGGAGUUGUGCUGUUGUGGUGCGGAGUAGGAGCGUCUAAGCGAGGAGAGAAUCACAGGCGAUUUCUCUCAUUGUUGUUUUGGCGUCGUUUCUAAUUCUAUGUUGAAACAAAGUGUUUGUCUCAUUAGGGCGUGUCUCCUCGCUUUUUCUCGCAUAAGAAUCCAGUAAAAAGGUUCUCCAAAUAGGCUCUUUGACUACUACAGUUCAUCGAUUCGAUUCUCCCAUCUAUAUCCUUUGUGGUUGCCCAUCCGGCUAUCCCAUUA